This 309-nucleotide unclassified non-coding RNA is filed under the name plant metagenome. RNAcentral's name for it is "partial contains 5.8S ribosomal RNA, internal transcribed spacer 2, and large subunit ribosomal RNA". The stretch from base 1 to 105 matches the Rfam family "5.8S ribosomal RNA", at positions 50 to 154 of the family's 154-position model. The record is from RNAcentral.
GAAAUGCGAUAAGUAGUGUGAAUUGCAGAAUUCAGUGAAUCAUCGAAUCUUGGAACGCACAUUGCGCCCCUUGGUAUUCCAUGGGGCAUGCCUGUUCGAGCGUCAUUUGUACCCUCAAGCUCUGCUUGGUGUUGGGUGUUUGUCCCGUCUCCGCGCGUGGACUCGCCCCAAAGUGAUUGGCAGCCGGCGUACUGGUCCCGGAGCGCAGCACAUGUCGCGCAAACGAGUGCCUUGGUACGGCGGCGUCCAUAAGCCCCUCUCUCACGCUCUUGACCUCGGAUCAGGUAGGGAUACCCGCUGAACUUAAGC